RNAcentral lists this ribosomal RNA (491 nucleotides) under uncultured bacterium. RNAcentral describes it as "partial 16S ribosomal RNA". It matches the Rfam family "Bacterial small subunit ribosomal RNA", at positions 29 to 506 of the family's 1533-position model. The record is from RNAcentral.
AGUGAACGCUGGCGGUAGGCCUAACACAUGCAAGUCGAACGGCAGCACAGUAAGAGCUUGCUCUUACGGGUGGCGAGUGGCGGACGGGUGAGGAAUACAUCGGAAUCUACUUUUUCGUGGGGGAUAACGUAGGGAAACUUACGCUAAUACCGCAUACGACCUACGGGUGAAAGCAGGGGAUCUUCGGACCUUGCGCGAUUGAAUGAGCCGAUGUCGGAUUAGCUAGUUGGCGGGGUAAAGGCCCACCAAGGCGACGAUCCGUAGCUGGUCUGAGAGGAUGAUCAGCCACAGUGGAACUGAGAGACGGCCCAGACUCCUACGGGAGGCAGCAGUGGGGAAUAUUGGACAAUGGGCGCAAGCCUGAACCAGCCAUACCGCGUGGGUGAAGAAGGCCUUCGGGUUGUAAAGCCCUUUUGUUGGGAAAGAAAAGCAGCAGGUGAAUACCCCGCUGUUCUGACGGUACCCAAAGAAUAAGCACCGGCUAACUUCGU